Molecule: transfer RNA, 65 nt
Filed under: Procryptotermes hesperus
Lineage: Eukaryota; Metazoa; Arthropoda; Insecta; Blattodea; Kalotermitidae
Description: tRNA-Cys
Source: RNAcentral
AGCCUUAUAUUCAUUUUGUGAUGUUAGAAUGCAAUUCUAAAGGGAUGGGUGUACCAUUAAGGCCU